AAGGCUGCUUGAUAUGUUCUCUAAGACCUGGGUUGCUUGCUUGUUGAAGGCCAUAGCGAGUUUGUUCGUCGACUUCUGACAACCCCCCGAGGAAGUCAUGAAUCGCUGCAAGGGAAUGCAGCCCAUAGGUCCCAGGCCGAAGAACGUCAGCUGCCGAGCCCCUAACUUAUGCAAGAGCUGUAUAUUGACAGAUCCAGGGAGGUCCAUGAGUCACUGUACAAAGGGAGGAGGUAGUUGUUGAUGAAGUCAUUGCUUCCCAGUGCGACCACAUAACGAGCUUCUCUGAAGAAUUCGUCGGCAGCCUCACGACCAAUCUUCAUCCUUAUCAGCUCUUGGGUUCCUUGGAACAGUUCAAUUUGCUUGUAGAGGGAGAACCUCUGUAUCUGGAUCGCAUAAGAUCCCAUAGAACCACUGUUAGUCCUUCAUGGAGAUGGAAAGCAAAGUGAUUCCCAGGUUG
Phoenix dactylifera (date palm) is the source of this 457-nucleotide non-coding RNA. The record is from RefSeq and is a predicted model, not a curated record. Lineage: Eukaryota; Viridiplantae; Streptophyta; Magnoliopsida; Arecales; Arecaceae.